UGACUUGCCCGCAAAAGCUAGAUCUGUUUACUGGUAUGGCGACCCCUGGAUGGGAAUCUACCUGUGGUCCACCAUCAGCAGACCACAGAUGGCAUUGUUUGCAAUGAAGAGAAAUGUAGAUAAGAGGAAAGAUGCAGUGACUUACUUGGAUUUUCUAUAUAAAUCAUCACAGCACCUGAAAGCACAGGGCUGUAUCUGGGGAGGCCCAAGAAAGCCAGAGAAAAGAGGCCAGGCUCUCCAGGACUGGUGAGAUGCUCCACCAUCAGAGGCUCUGCCCAUUGGGCUCCUGGCUAGACCAAGAGGACAACACAUGAGACAGAUAAAGUUCUGAUUCU
Non-coding RNA from Heterocephalus glaber (naked mole-rat), 335 nucleotides. NCBI's taxonomy places the organism in Eukaryota, Metazoa, Chordata, Mammalia, Rodentia, Bathyergidae. The record is from RefSeq and is a predicted model, not a curated record.